CCUACGGGAGGUAGCAGUGGGGAAUAUUGGGCAAUGGAGGAAACUCUGACCCAGCGACGCCGCGUGCGGGAUGAAGGCCUUCGGGUUGUAAACCGCUUUCAGCAGGGAAGAAGCGAAAGUGACGGUACCUGCAGAAGAAGCACCGGCUAACUAUGUGCCAGCAGCCGCGGUAAUACAUAGGGUGCAAGCGUUGUCCGGAAUUAUUGGGCGUAAAGAGCUCGUAGGUGGUUCGUCGCGUCGGAUGUGAAAAUCUGGGGCUUAACCCCAGACCUGCAUUCGAUACGGGCGAGCUUGAGUAUGGUAGGGGAGUCUGGAAUUCCUGGUGUAGCGGUGGAAUGCGCAGAUAUCAGGAGGAACACCAAUGGCGAAGGCAGGACUCUGGGCCAUUACUGGCACUGAGGAGCGAAAGCGUGGGGAGCGAACAGGAUUAGAUACCCUGGUAGUCCACGCCGUAAACGGUGGGCACUAGUUGUGGGGACCUUCCACGGUCUCUGCGACGCNGCUACGCAUAGUGCCCGCCGUCGGGAGGUACGAGUCGCGAGAAGUUAAACGUUAACGUAAAGUUAAAGUUAGUACGGCGUUGAGACGUUGCCGACGGACGACGACGAGGGAGGUUAGG
RNAcentral lists this ribosomal RNA (619 nucleotides) under uncultured bacterium. RNAcentral describes it as "bacterial SSU rRNA". The stretch from base 1 to 520 matches the Rfam family "Bacterial small subunit ribosomal RNA", at positions 338 to 873 of the family's 1533-position model. The record is from RNAcentral.